CCUCAGUAGGCCUCGCCAGGGAGAGUGAGUUCUCCGUGGUCACGUGGCCCAUAUGGGGCAGAGGCAGGCUCUUCUGAGGCUUAUUCCAGUCCGAUACUCUUGACCCCUGAGCACAUGGCCUCUUUUGCUGAAAUGUCUCACCAUCUUUGAUUAUCAAGCUAUGCAUUCUAGGCUCACGUCUACAGCUCCUAGAGAGAGUCUUCUCGAGGCACAAUGUCUGACUUCACCAGCUCCCACCACGUCUUUGCCUGCCCUGGACUGAGAAUAUUCUCUCUUCCUCAUGACCUGUGGGUCAUUUGCUGGUCCUCUGGAAGGAAGAAGGCACUCAGUGAGUUGGAUUCUCUCUUCCACACCACAGGAGCCUUGUGGCCUGGAGUUGGCGCGGCCUCCUCUGGAGCUGGUGAUGAGCUUGUAAAAGGGGCUGGACUUGGCCAAGGCAAGUUCAGAGACUCGUUCAGGAAAGACCCUGAGACCCAAGCCAGGUAGAAAGUCAAGCAGAAUUCUUAUCUCCCUCUUCAUUUAGUUAAUUCUUGCUCCCCCUUUAAGUUCGGGCCCCAACUCCCUCUGGAAGACUUCCAAGGGACAAGUUAGAUGCUGAGCCUUGGACUUCUGGAAUAUCCAGUGUGCCUCUCAGAACCUUGGUAAGAGCAGGGAUCGUGCAUCCGGAGUGUUGGGGCUGGAGUCCGCUGCAGAUGCACUGUGCACGUUUAUUGAAUAACUGUAGGUGUAGCUCCCUGUGGCCCUGUCAUCAAGAUCUGGUCAGUGGGAUGUGAGAAGUAAAAUAUGACAUUUUAGGUUUUCUGGGUCACAUCCUUGAAAGGAAACUGCGUGUCCUUCUUUUCCUCUUCUGCUUCCCAUGGGUGGGGCCAGGUGCAUCCAAGCAGAUGAAGGCAAUACUGGAGGGGUGGCUGCAUGAGGGAGAGGAGGGUCCUGGUUCCGGAGGGACCUUGUGGAGCAAAGACCUCUUCCUGGUCCGGACCACCUGUCCACCCCUGUAGUGCCCAUCCACCCCUGGACCACCCGUCCACACCGGACUGCCCAUCCACCCCUGGAGUGCCCGUCCACGCCUGUAGUGCCCAUCCACCCCUGGACCACCCGUCCACCCCGGACUGCCUGUCCCCCGCUGGAGUGCCCGUCCACCCCUGGACUGCUACUGAGAGAAGAAUGAGCGCUUGUCUUGUUGGAGCACUUGUCUCCUCGUUUCAGCAGUCCGCAUUGUGCUGUAACCAACAUGCAUUCCAGGUGAAAACCGGAGAACUGACUUCACUUCAGCUAACCUCCUCCUCUCGAUUUCUUCACAAUGUUUGUAUUUCUAGUAUCAUUUUUAGUUUUUCUUAGGGUUACCUUUGUGACUUUAAGUAAAGACACCCUUACGCCGC
Molecule: long non-coding RNA, 1379 nt
Filed under: Equus caballus (horse)
Lineage: Eukaryota; Metazoa; Chordata; Mammalia; Perissodactyla; Equidae
Description: lncRNA (ENSECAG00000046328.1)
Source: RNAcentral